UGGGGAAUAUUGCACAAUGGGCGCAAGCCUGAUGCAGCCAUGCCGCGUGUGUGAAGAAGGCCUUCGGGUUGUAAAGCACUUUCAGCGGGGAGGAAGGCGUUAAGGUUAAUAACCUUGUCGAUUGACGUUACCCGCAGAAGAAGCACCGGCUAACUCCGUGCCAGCAGCCGCGGUAAUACGGAGGGUGCAAGCGUUAAUCGGAAUUACUGGGCGUAAAGCGCACGCAGGCGGUCUGUCAAGUCGGAUGUGAAAUCCCCGGGCUCAACCUGGGAACUGCAUUCGAAACUGGCAGGCUAGAGUCUUGUAGAGGGGGGUAGAAUUCCAGGUGGAGCGGUGAAAUGCGUAGAGAUCUGGAGGAAUACCGGUGGCGAAGGCGGCCCCCUGGACAAAGACUGACGCUCAGGUGCGAAAGCGUGGGGAGCAAACAGG
Molecule: ribosomal RNA, 429 nt
Filed under: Chloroflexota bacterium
Lineage: Bacteria; Bacillati; Chloroflexota
Description: Chloroflexi bacterium partial 16S ribosomal RNA
Rfam family: Bacterial small subunit ribosomal RNA
Source: RNAcentral